GCGGUUAAUUUUUUUUUAUUUUCAAAAAAUAGUAUAGCCGGUCGGCUAUACUCGGUUUUAAAAUAAUUUUAGAGGGAAUAGCAUAGCCGCGGCGAUACUUGGUUUUUAAUUUAUUAAUUUUUCCUAAAUUCGUCAUAAGAAAUAGUAUAGCCGCGCGGCUAUAAUUGGAUUUUUCCUCUUUUUUAUUUGAAAGAAAUAGUAUCGUCACCAUACUGCACAAAUUAGCAACGAUUAAUAUGGUCUUUGAAUAAAUAUAAGUACUCGAAAAUUAAGUAACACCCGGAAAACUACGACCAGCAAUUUGAAACAUCAACAGAGCCAAAAAGAAGAUGAAAAUGAUAUCAGGAGGGGAACCAAGAAUUUUGAGAAAUUUGGGAAUUUUGAAAAAAUUAGGGUUUCAGAAAUCAAAAUCAGGUAGCAAAAAUGCAAAGACGAUGAGAUCGAUGAAUAAGAUGAUAUCACGACAUAAGAAAAACUGUAAUCGACAAUGCAAUUGUAAACAGAAAAGUGUUUUAAAAAAAAUUCCAAACUUUCAACAGUAUAUGAGAUGAAAGCAAAAAAACCCAAAAAUCAAAAGGGAUUAGAACAUUGAUGGGAAGUUGAAAGCAUACCUAAAGAAAUCAAAUACAAGCUCUGAAGCUCAGGCGUUGUUGCAGAGUGAUAAAAGGGAGACAGAGAGCGAUAGAUUUGAGACGGUUGGAGAGGUGCUUGGCGACGAAGGGUUUUGAUUCUUUUGCUUUCCUGAUCUCAACUGGAAUAUUUAUAAUCGAGUUGGGAAAAUCCUGUGGGUUCAGAAAAUAAAAGGAAAAUAAAAGAUAAGAGAUGAGAAAUGAGAAAUCAAACCACCACCGCUAUCAUCCGAUGGAGAUUAACUUGCAGAAAAAUAGAAGAAGAAAAUAAUAAGGCAGAACCCAUCACCAGGAACUGCCAUUGAUUGACAAAAAUCCCCGUCAUAUCGGGUUCCGAUUUCGGGUUAAAAUUAGGGACAAGUAAAGUAAGGAGAUCCCCG
This 1009-nucleotide long non-coding RNA is filed under the name Prunus persica (peach). RNAcentral's name for it is "long non-coding RNA (PPER_LNC000114)". Lineage: Eukaryota; Viridiplantae; Streptophyta; Magnoliopsida; Rosales; Rosaceae. The record is from RNAcentral.